AUUUAUUAUCUUCACAAAAUAAAAAUACAUGAUAAGAAAUGUGAAAUCUCACAAUUUUACAAUGAAACUUAAAUACUUUAAUUUUAUUGAAAAUAAAAACAACAUAAUGAAAAAACAUGAUAACUAAAAUUAAUAACGCAAUAAAACAACAUUAUUUAUUUUUCCAAUAAAUUGAUCAUGAUUUAGUUUUGAUCUCCGAAGAAGUCUUCAACUUCUAAAUGAGUGAUAUCAUCAAGGCUAUCAAAAUUAUCAUUUUUCAAUAACAAGUUUGCCUCAACAUUGUCAUCAUAUUUUUGUGAAGGUUCUGCCUCAUCAUCAUUUUUGAAAGUUAAAUGUGACUCUAUUCGGACAUUAGAAGAGGUCCCACCUUCAUUUCUCUUUCUUUUAAAAGAAUCUUGAUAAAGCCUCAAUAUAUGCGUAGGUUCCCAACAUUCAUUCUUCCAAUGGUCUUUCAUGUCAUAACGAUGACAAUUGCCUCUUGAAUGAUUAUUUUGAGAACCUAUUUGAUUCUUCCUUUUCUGGUUACCAUCACCACGAUGAUUAUUAUAUCAUCACCUAUUAUUUCC
This 566-nucleotide long non-coding RNA is filed under the name Capsicum annuum. RNAcentral describes it as "long non-coding RNA (CANN_LNC001563)". The record is from RNAcentral. Lineage: Eukaryota; Viridiplantae; Streptophyta; Magnoliopsida; Solanales; Solanaceae.